RNAcentral lists this unclassified non-coding RNA (594 nucleotides) under Aspergillus puniceus. RNAcentral describes it as "sequence contains 18S rRNA gene, ITS1, 5.8S rRNA gene, ITS2, 28S rRNA gene". The stretch from base 217 to 370 matches the Rfam family "5.8S ribosomal RNA". The record is from RNAcentral. Lineage: Eukaryota; Fungi; Ascomycota; Eurotiomycetes; Eurotiales; Aspergillaceae.
UCGUAACAAGGUUUCCGUAGGUGAACCUGCGGAAGGAUCAUUACCGAGUGCAGGCCUCGCCCCACAGGCAGGCCUAACCUCCCACCCGUGAAUACCUGACCAACGUUGCUUCGGCGGUGCGCGCCCCCUUCCCGGGGGGCGUAAGCCGCCGGGGACCACACCGAACUUCUUGUUUUUAGCGUGUCGUCUGAGCUUGAUACAAGCAAACCUAAUUAAAACUUUCAACAAUGGAUCUCUUGGUUCCGGCAUCGAUGAAGAACGCAGCGAACUGCGAUAAGUAAUGUGAAUUGCAGAAUUCAGUGAAUCAUCGAGUCUUUGAACGCACAUUGCGCCCCCUGGCAUUCCGGGGGGCAUGCCUGUCCGAGCGUCAUUGCUGCCCUUCAAGCCCGGCUUGUGUGUUGGGUCGUCGUCCCCCCCGGGGGACGGGCCCGAAAGGCAGCGGCGGCACCGCGUCCUGGUCCUCGAGCGUAUGGGGCUUUGUCACCCGCUCGUUUAGGGCCGGCCGGGCGCCAGCCGGCGUCUCCAAACCUUUUAUUUUACCAGGUUGACCUCGGAUCAGGUAGGGAUACCCGCUGAACUUAAGCAUAUCAAUAA